AGUAUUUGUUGAAGAAGUUUUCGAAGGUAUUGCAGUUACCUUUUGACAGAUUAUUAAUUGAAGAUCGUCAAGUGAUUUAACAGAGUAUCGAUUGAUAAGAAAUAUGAAUGAAAGCUUAGAUAAUUGUACUACGAUCAAUGAAUUCAGGGGGUCUUGAGUCCGUCUUCGAGGAGAUUCAUGUUUACCGUCAGGGAGAGCCUAAGUAUAUUUUUUAAGUUAUGGUGAUAACUUGUUAAUGUAGCUUUAGGGUUAAGUUACAAACUUUUGAAUCUCAAUAAUAUUUCUUAUCUGAGCAAAUAAGCUCCCUAGAUGUAGGUCGUAUUUGCUGAACUGGGUUAUCAAAGUCUUCUG
This 351-nucleotide long non-coding RNA is filed under the name Cucumis sativus (cucumber). RNAcentral's name for it is "long non-coding RNA (CSAT_LNC000603)". The record is from RNAcentral. Lineage: Eukaryota; Viridiplantae; Streptophyta; Magnoliopsida; Cucurbitales; Cucurbitaceae.